AUGAACGCUAGCGGCAGGCUUAACACAUGCAAGUCGAGGGGCAGCGAGAUUGUUAGCAAUAACGAUUGUCGGCGACCGGCGCAAGGGUGCGUAACGCGUGAGCAACUUGCCCUCAUCAGGGGGAUAACCGUUGGAAACGACGACUAAUACCCCAUAGCAUCACAUUGAGGCAUCUUGGUGUGAUUAAAGAAAUUCGGAUGAGGAUAGGCUCGCGUGACAUUAGCUAGACGGCGGGGUAACGGCCCACCGUGGCUACGAUGUCUAGGGGUUCUGAGAGGAAGGUCCCCCACACUGGAACUGAGACACGGUCCAGACUCCUACGGGAGGCAGCAGUGAGGAAUAUUGGUCAAUGGUCGAGAGACUGAACCAGCCAUGCCGCGUGAAGGAUACGGCCCUAUGGGUCUUAAACUUCUUUUGUAAGGGAGCAAUAAGGAUCACGUGUGGUCUGAUGAGAGUACCUUACGAAUAAGCAUCGGCUAACUCCGUG
Molecule: ribosomal RNA, 487 nt
Filed under: uncultured bacterium
Lineage: Bacteria
Description: bacterial SSU rRNA
Rfam family: Bacterial small subunit ribosomal RNA
Source: RNAcentral